UACAGAGACUGCAAGCGUUAUUCGGAUUCACUGGGCGUAAAGGGCGCGCAGGCGGCCAAGUGUGUUAGGCGUGAAAGCCUGAGGCUUAACCUCAGAAUUGCACCUAAAACUACAUGGCUAGAGCAUUGGAGAGGGUAGCGGAAUUCACGGUGUAGCAGUGAAAUGCGUAGAUAUCGUGAGGAACACCAGAGGCGAAGGCGGCUACCUGGACAAUUGCUGACGCUCAGGCACGAAAGCGUGGGGAGCAAAAGGG
RNAcentral lists this ribosomal RNA (253 nucleotides) under uncultured bacterium. RNAcentral's name for it is "partial 16S ribosomal RNA". It matches the Rfam family "Bacterial small subunit ribosomal RNA", at positions 524 to 776 of the family's 1533-position model. The record is from RNAcentral.